GCGCUUCCUGGACCGGCGGAUGGGUGGUGGUCGGUUCGUUCCCCUUCCCCGGUCACGGCAUAUGUCAUGAUGGUUUCCUCUCCAUCAUAAUCUCCUGCGCUGCGUUUCAUUGUGGUAGUCGUUUGCCUUUCCGUCUACUUAGAGCAAGAUUCUCUUGUUCCCUUGUUCUACUACUUGUUAGAUAACAUAUUUUUCUAGCUAAACCAGAAUGGAAUCAAAACGAAAUUUCGUAUAUAAAUAAGACUAGUUCUGGUACUGCACUUGUUCAACUUCUACCUUGACUCGCUUUCCUUUUAAACGGCCAGCCGUACCCCGAGACACCUUUACUGCAUCCACUCCAAAAGCAGCGUAUAGAGCAGCUGCAUCAUUCGCAGAAGUAUUUCCCUAUGUACCGUCCCUCUAUCUAACAUACUUUGGACUCCCGGGAUUCAAGAUAAAGCCUAUUGGGGCGGGGCUCUUUUGGCUAAAUCUAGGAGCUCAUUGAGACCAUCCUACCCUUACUAUUAUUGAACUUUUCUUUCCUUGUCAUCAAGAAUGCGAAUUCCAUAUUCUAUUCUAUAUAAAUGUCUAUAUAAAUGAUAUUCUUUUGACGUUGAAUCAAAUUCCUUUCUAAACGGGUACCGCGCAUCGUCCGAUCCUGCCCUGUCAGGUUUUCUUCUUUCGGGAUAAUCCCGUUCUUCCUUCGAGCUUGGCUUUGAAUCAAUCAAUUUCAUCAUUGAAUGUGGUCCGCCUACUAAGUAAAGUCUAACAUCCUUUACGGCAUCAACAGGAAAGAUUACCGAUCCCGAACUCCUAUUUCUUCCACUGCUACAAAGACUUCUAUUGCAACAACGACAGCGGAUCCAUCGCUUGCUCUAAGUGCUUCUUGCUCAGACUUGACUGACACUGAUUGAGCUAACUUCACUAUCUUAGUUACUACAUUCUCAUACUUCCUUGAGACUGAACUUUUCGCUUACAAAGAAGACGAUAAGACGAAGACGAUUCGGUAUAAAAGCUUAGCUUCAACUUCAAAGCUUCCGGGCUUGCCCCUUUAGUUUAGUUAGAUUGAAGGCUUCCUUCCCUAGAGGAGGGACGGUACUCGACAUUCUAAAUAGUAAGCAGAAAAGUAAGUAAUAGAAAACGGGAAGGGCACUGAUCCUUCACUUAAACUGUAAGGCCUUCUUUACUUACCUAUAGCUUUAUUUUAGCUUCACCGGAAUCAGAUGCUGUAGAUGAUCAAACUUCUGCCGCGGAGUCGGCUUCAGUAUAGGAUACAACUUCUAUCAUUGAAUCAUCUAGGGAAAAAGAGUCCUGCUAUCGCUGCAUCUUCCCCUGUCCUUUCCUUUUCUUCGGUUGUCUUCCUUCCGAUUCCGAUGGAAAGGCACCUUUCAGGCCAUAAUCCUACGGACAAAUGGCAACUGGGCCCAUAUGUUUAGCACAGGAAAUUAUUAAAAGAUCAGAGGCCUAGCGCGGGCUAUUUUAUAUAAUAAUCUUUCCUAAGCCCGGAGAAUAGUAGCUAGAGGGAGAAGAGCGUUCCCAGCGAAGAGUUUUUCCUUUAAUCAGCGGGGAUGGCACCUGCCUUUCUUUAGAUGACAUUUCUCUCACUACCAAUAGUCUCCGCUUCAAAGAAAAGCUUUGAAAGGGCUUACCCUCCCGUAUACCUUUAUAGGGCACAUAAAGCGUUAACCGAUGAUAGCUUAGCUGCUUCAGUACCACCUUAGCCCUAAAAGUCAAAGUACGGCCCUUCUAAAUAGUUUAGGUACGGGCCGGGGUGAGCUAAAGGCUUUAUCGGAGAUUAGCAGCUUCAUCUAGAAGCUGCCGGGUCGGGCGAUAGUGGCUUCCCUUCCUACCCUACUGGUACGAGAAAGAAGAUAUUGAUUGUACUAGGCGGGCGGCACUCUCCUAUAUUAGAGUACUUGUGCUUUGGUCUAGCAGUACCGCUUUCAGUACCGAGGCCCUACUGUAAUUGGAAAGUUCCAGUUAAUAGUACAGUACUAGAUCACAGCAGUACCAAUAAACCUUAAGCAUUAAGGCAACCUUCUAACCGCCGGAUAAGGGCUUGGGCUUGUUCAUGGAGAUAUAAGUACCGAUCGAAUAGAAAUAUAAGAUUUUAAACCUGAUAACCGAAUUAUGGAUACCGAUAAGCCGAAAGCUGUUGUGCUUUGAUGCCGCC
This 2152-nucleotide small RNA is filed under the name Lupinus albus (white lupine). RNAcentral's name for it is "hypothetical ncRNA". Lineage: Eukaryota; Viridiplantae; Streptophyta; Magnoliopsida; Fabales; Fabaceae. The record is from RNAcentral.